GGCUGGUCUGAUGGUGGUGGGUUAUCAGAACUUAUUAAAUUAGUGUUGCUAAAGUUGGGAUACAACCCCCCACUGCUAAAUUUGACUGUCUUUUA
Molecule: Y RNA, 95 nt
Filed under: Propithecus coquereli (Coquerel's sifaka)
Lineage: Eukaryota; Metazoa; Chordata; Mammalia; Primates; Indriidae
Description: Y RNA (ENSPCOG00000003379.1)
Rfam family: Y RNA
About the family: Y RNAs are components of the Ro ribonucleoprotein particle (Ro RNP), in association with Ro60 and La proteins. The Y RNAs and Ro60 and La proteins are well conserved, but the function of the Ro RNP is not known.
Source: RNAcentral